This 484-nucleotide ribosomal RNA is filed under the name uncultured bacterium. RNAcentral describes it as "partial 16S ribosomal RNA". It matches the Rfam family "Bacterial small subunit ribosomal RNA", at positions 30 to 507 of the family's 1533-position model. The record is from RNAcentral.
AUUGAACGCUGGCGGCAGGCCUAACACAUGCAAGUCGAGCGGAUGAAGGGAGCUUGCUCCUGGAUUCAGCGGCGGACGGGUGAGUAAUGCCUAGGAAUCUGCCUGGUAGUGGGGGAUAACGUCCGGAAACGGGCGCUAAUACCGCAUACGUCCUGAGGGAGAAAGUGGGGGAUCUUCGGACCUCACGCUAUCAGAUGAGCCUAGGUCGGAUUAACUAGUUGGUGGGGUAAAGGCCUACCAAGGCGACGAUCCGUAACUGGUCUGAGAGGAUGAUCAGUCACACUGGAACUGAGACACGGCCCAGACUCCUACGGGAGGCAGCAGUGGGGAAUAUUGGACAAUGGGCGAAAGCCUGAUCCAGCCAUGCCGCGUGUGUGAAGAAGGUCUUCGGAUUGUAAAGCACUUUAAGUUGGGAGGAAGGGCAGUAAGUUAAUACCUUGCUGUUUUGACGUUACCAACAGAAUAAGCACCGGCUAACUUCGUG